CUGCGCGGAAGCGGCGCGGCGCGGCCCAGGCCCGGCACUUACCCUUGGUGAGCGUGUCCAGCACCCCCGACUUCUCCAGGUACCGGCGGAACUGCUCCCGCUUGGAGUCCGCGGCCUUGGGAAGGAUGCGCACAGGAUGGUGAAGAGGGAGCUACUGGAACAGAAUGUAUACUCCCUAUCCUAAAUUGCCCUUCACCGAGUUUAAAAAGGAAAAGAUUCAUGUGGAAGAGGAAGAAGUGGAACAGUCGUGGCAGAAGUUUUGGAGAUCGGAGGGAAGUGAGGCAGAUGGAAAAUCCUUGAUGCAGUAGCCACAGCAGCUGAUCCACCACUGAGCAGGGACAUGGUCAACAGAAUGCAUGGGCGUAUACGCAGAUGGCCGAAAGGACAGAAGAAUCGAGACAGAUUUAUGAGAGAUUAAGCCCAGUGAAUUUCUAUCCCAAUGCUACGAAGGCUUUGAACUGCUGGAAACCAGCAUAGAGCACAGAGACAGAACAGGGCUUUACUUGGCUUCUAAAACACUAGGUGACAUCCUAAUGUCUAAAGGAGUCCUUAGAAAAGCCAAGCGUUUGCAUCCAAGAAAGUUUAUUUCAACCCGACUCCGUGAUGAUAGUUUAGCUUAUGCUGAUUGUUUCUUAGAUCUAGCAGAAGAAGAAAAAAAAUCAUGUUACUUGAGAAGCAAAAUUCUUACGGUAAAUUUCCUAUGCUAAAAAGAUGAUACAAGUGAACUACAUUAAAAAAAAAAAAAGAAAAAAGCAACCCUGAAGUCGAACACAAAGGAAGAAAUUGUAAGCAGAGCGUGGCCAACAACUGACAGUCAAUUCAAAACAUAUACAGCAUACAGUCUGAUAAAGCCCUAAGAUGUCUACCAGACCACUCGCUGCUGUGACAAAACCUAUUUUAUUUUCUGUGCAGUCUGUAAGCAUCUUACUUCAGAAAUGCAAAUAAUGGUUUUUUUUGUCUCUGCACUAACUUGAGAUUCUUAUUGCAACAAGCUCUCCACAGAACCUACACAUAACUGCUGUCAUAAUGUCACUUUGAGAUGGGCGGCUUGACAGAAGAAAUACUUUUAAAGUGUGAAGAGAGGACUUGAAGUUAGUGGAGCAUAAGACACACACUUAGCUUCUAAAGUCCUAAUUACUUUCUCCACAAACCUCCUGACAGCAGCAGGACUGCAAAACAAGGCAAUUUGUAAUCAAAAACAACAAGAAUCUCACAGCACUGAAAGGGACAUUGGAAAUUGCUAUCGGCUCUUCAAGACCAAGGCUAAAGUCACUUUCGAUGCUUGCCUUUCCCUCGGCAUACGUAUUUUCAGUCUGUAACUUCAGUCAGCAGAGGGCCAUCCAGGACGUGGCCUGCAGUUUUAGUACUGGUAUCCAUUAAAAAAGAAGAGAAAAUAAUCUCUCUGCAUAGACAAUAUUGCUUUAAACAAUGGCACUGGGAGCUAAUUUGAUGCCUGCGAGUCCAGACCCCAGUUUGGUUGGAGAGCUUGUCAUAAGCACAACAGGCAAGUCAGCAGUUGAAUCCCCCCUGCCAAGGUUGUGUCUUUAGAUUAAUCCUCCUGACUCUGCAAUAAAAAACAUUUCAAGUGGGAGGCAAGUAAUAUGUUAUACCCUGACACCUGUCCAGUACCCCAAGGAAUGAGCACAACUAGCCUGCAAAGCCCCUGGAUCUCAAAUCCACCCCCAAACCUGGACAGAAACCGCCCCCACUACCCCCUAAGCACCCCCAAAGCCUGCCCCAAGGCCACCAGUGCCUCCAAUACCCCCCCAAGCCCAACCCCAAAUUCUGCCCCGACACCCUUAAACCACCACCGAGUGCCCCGAUACCACCAUCAGUCCCAAGCCACCCCAGGCUCCUGCCCCCGGACCCUCGUGACCCCGGCGGGCAGGAUCCAGGCCCCGGUGCCCGGGUGGGUGGCGGGGGGCCCGCUCGCCUGCCCCGGGAACAGCCGGGCGGGUGCCGGGCAGUGCGGGGACAGAGGCACAGGCCCCUGCCCUGCGCCCCCUCGCAUUUACACUGCCUGUCCCAGUACGACCAACACAAGCUAGUAUUUGACAGUGCUUCAGUCUCAGUGAAGAUGUGCCUUGAUUACGGACUGUAAUCAGCGCUGCGGCGGGUCGCUGUGCGCAUGCGCCUUGCGACGGGCUGAGCGCACCGCCGCUUUCCCUUGCGUGCAUUGCAGAGCGGCGGGUGGCGCAAGCGCAUUGUGGCGGGGCGCUCGCUGCUGCCCUCCCUUCAUUACACGCCGUACUGCAGCCAGGCGGCUCACGCAUGCGCCCCGCUGCGCGCCCCGCUUUCUGCUGCCCUGGCGGAUGACGCGACAGCAGUGCGCGGCGCAGGCUCUGGCGUGCUUAUUGCAGCUCUCCGUCCGCGUUGCCGUCGCCGGUGUUUCCGUAAUAGGUGAGCAGCAAGCUAGUCCCGCGAAGACACGUUAUUCCCAGUUAACACAGAUGUCCCUCCAAUGCGACGUAUUAUGUGACUAGUCAUCCACAGUAUGUAAUAGCAGCCUGGUUUUAUUAAUAAUUACACAUUAAUUUAUAAAAGGUGUUCUCAUCAAUAUCGGUUGUGCUGUGUGUCACCCCCCGGCUCAGUCUCACUUUAGAGAAAAAAGGGUCUUGUGAUUAAUAUCUAAGCGACGGGAUGAAACAAGGAAGCAAAAAUGCAGUUCAGCAGACCCUUGAUAUCACCAGAAACUGCUGCAGUAGGAGGUGUUUUGGCAUGGGUAACUAAGGUAACUAUUGAUAAUGAAUAUUUGUUAUUUCUGUCUCCCAGAGGCAGCACUGAGGACUAAGUAACUCAUUCCUACCCUGUGGAUAUUUUUACCUGUAUCUGCCUUAGUUUGGUUGUUUCUGCUUUGUGUUGUUAUCUUAUAUGCAUAUAUAAAAAGCAAAAGAUAUAAUACUUAGUUUUUUAGAUUAAUUGCCAUGGCUGAAGUUGAAGAGACCAGAAAAAUGUAAGCAAGCUCAAGUAAAAAAAUCAAAUGGAACCAAGCAAAAGCUGUCUCCCUCUGCCAGAAAGGAAAAGCCCAUUCCUCCUGGUGUUCAGAACACUGGGGAACGACUAUAUGCUGCCAUGAAGAACUACACGCUACCACUGCUCUCAGACCUUUGUAACUUACUGUGUGUCAAGAACGGCCAGGAGAACCCAAACGCCAGUGGAAAGGUUCUCUGCCUGGUCCCGACGAGAAGCCUUCAGCCGUGGGAAGGCUGUCCACGUCCUUACUAGACUUAACGCUCUCUGCCAGGGGGCAUGUGGUGGUGGACACCUGUAUUCCUCUGGACUCUUCUUGACACGGUUAUUGUGAGCAAUGAAUGCGUGAUUUCAGUAACUUGUGAAAUGCAGCCUUGCCCUCACAGCCCAAGGGACAGAAUUAAGGGCUUGUUUGUCAGCUAAGAAAUAAAGAAGACAGAACAGCCUAACCACAUAGGAGAGCUGAUAUACGGCUUACCUCCGACAAACUGUAUCACUGUGGUGUAUUGCGUUUCAGAGGCAGUGAUAUACUCAACAAGAACAUGAGAACUCCUGCUCUGCAGUGGGCUCUGUAAUCGAUGACCACAGGAUCCAUGCUCUGGGCCGGUCACGUUAGGCCUUUGUGCAGAGUAUUCUUUCUAGUCACACGCCCCGUGUGAUCCUCUCCUUCCGCUGUUUUCCCAAGGGAUUGGAAAUGCUUCUGGUAAGUCCUGUAGCUUCCUGAAUUUUCCACUGUGUCCUUGCUGGUACUGGAUACCAUUAUAGCAGGGAGAGGCAGCCUACAUAUGCUCAAGGAACACUGAGGCACAAAGAAGUUGCCUCUUUGGCCCACCUAAUCUACUUCAGAGAGUUUUAUUUCUGACCUAGAGCUUGGGACUUGGAGUGCUGUGCACAGCAGGCAUUGGUUUCCCUGUUCUUUGAACAGGGUUAUCGAUGCCCUUCAGUUGUUUCUUCAGAGGGGGGAGUUGCUGCAGGAAUUGCUGGGGAGGCCCUGACCGCAGGAUGUGGAAAAGAUACCUUUGACUGCAUCCAGCCGAAGAAAUGUAAGCCGAAGGAUCAGAGUAAAUAACUGCUUGUCUAGGUCUGUUACCUAGCAACACAUUGUCAAGGUUUUUUUAUGAGCAAUCAUACUCUAUCAAGUGCCUAUUCAUUCUGUGAAUAUUACUGCAAGAGUGCGUACGUUACGUUAGAGCAGAUUAAAACAUUUAUCAUCCUAUUUUGUUUAUUGAACGGACCGCGAUACUUGGAAAUACCUGCAGCAAAGGAGACACAGUAGUCAGCUUCCUUGGAGAAGGUGUCUUGUCCUGUACGCUAGGGCUUCCUGUACAUUUUGACAGACAGUAGUGAAUGACCGAUCUCCUUUGAACCCCUGGGCAGCAGAAGGUUCUGACUGGAAAGCAAAAUGUUUCUUGCAGCCGGGUUUGAAGAAGCUGGCUACCAAUCAAAAGAAAUGACCAGCUACCAAUCAAAAGUAAUGACCAAUCUGUGGAGUCACUGAAAGUUUUUAAAAGACAAUUAUCAUCUUUUAAGGAAGGCAAUGCACUUUAAUUACUAAUCCCUGUAGCAAUCGAGCCAAGUAAGUGGUAUGUAGGAGGUCAAGCCCAUUAGUCUUUUUCACACAGUAAUAGCGUUUAGGCUAUGAUCCCUCUUAUACAAGUCCAGAUAUUUUAGAAACUGAAAAAGCCUUUUUAGCUUGUUUCCAGUAGUACCGCAAAAGGUGAUCAGAAUGCUAAUGUUUUUGUGCUUUAACAUGGUAGACAUAUGCUGGGCAAACAUCUCUCACUGUUUAAUAAUAAAAAGUGUGCGGUCUGUCAAGAUAAUAGCGUAGCUUUCCUUUGUCUCUUUGUUUUGUUUAUCAGACAAUAAAGGCAAGAGUUUGAAAAUCCUAAA
Molecule: long non-coding RNA, 4860 nt
Organism: Dromaius novaehollandiae (emu)
Lineage: Eukaryota; Metazoa; Chordata; Aves; Casuariiformes; Dromaiidae
Exons: 9
Source: RefSeq, a predicted model, not a curated record